Molecule: ribosomal RNA, 484 nt
Filed under: uncultured bacterium
Lineage: Bacteria
Description: partial 16S ribosomal RNA
Rfam family: Bacterial small subunit ribosomal RNA
Source: RNAcentral
AUUGAACGCUGGCGGCAGGCCUAACACAUGCCAGUCGAGCGGAUGAAGGGAGCUUGCUCCUGGAUUCAGCGGCGGACGGGUGAGUAAUGCCUAGGAAUCUGCCUGGUAGUGGGGGAUAACGUCCGGAAACGGGCGCUAAUACCGCAUACGUCCUGAGGGAGAAAGUGGGGGAUCUUCGGACCUCACGCUAUCAGAUGAGCCUAGGUCGGAUCAGCUAGUUGGUGGGGUAAAGGCCUACCAAGGCGACGAUCCGUAACUGGUCUGAGAGGAUGAUCAGUCACACUGGAACUGAGACACGGUCCAGACUCCUACGGGAGGCAGCAGUGGGGAAUAUUGGACAAUGGGCGAAAGCCUGAUCCAGCCAUGCCGCGUGUGUGAAGAAGGUCUUCGGAUUGUAAAGCACUUUAAGUUGGGAGGAAGGGCAGUAAGUUAAUACCUUGCUGUUUUGACGGUACCAACAGAAUAAGCACCGGCUAACUUCGUG